UAUCUCUGUAGAGUCUGCAUAUCAAUAAGCGGAGGAAAAGAAACUAACUAGGAUUCCCUCAGUAACGGCGAGUGAAGCGGGAAGAGCUCAAAUUUGAAAUCUUCAAGGUUUCUACCUUGACGAAUUGUAGUUUAAAGAAGUGUUUUCUGUUGGAGGUUUUGGUAAAUGUCCUUUGGAAUAGGACAUCAUAGAGGGUGAGAAUCCCGUAUUUGACCAUUACUUCCAGCUUUGUGAUACACUUUCAAAGAGUCGGAUUGUUUGGGAACGCAGUCCAAAAUGGGUGGUAAAUUUCAUCUAAAGCUAAAUAUUGGCGAGAGACCGAUAGCGAACAAGUACCGUGAGGGAAAGAUGAAAAGAACUUUGAAAAGAGAGUUAAACAGUACGUGAAAUUGUCAAAAGGGAAGCGUUUGACACCAGUGUUGUUUUCUCGAAAAUCAAUUAAAAAAAGUUGGAUUUUGUAUUGUUAAGACCUUAUCAGCUUACUGUACUCUUUUCUUGCUUUUUUAAUGCACUUUUCGUUUAACAAGUCAACAUCAAUUUCUUUUGUUGUAAAAGAGUCAUUGGAAGGUGGCUUUCACUUCGGUGAAAGUGUUUAUAGCCUUUGGCUUCUGCAAUCGGAGAGAUUGAGGUCUGCAGCGUAGAUCCUUCGGGGCUAGAUACGUAGAUGCUAAGUUAUAGUUUUUUAUAGACAACUUGUUGACUAUAAUUAAUCAUGUAGCUUACUCGUUUGCGCUAUUUUACCUACGCUUAGGAUGUUGACGAUCAGCUGAGCGCG
This 775-nucleotide ribosomal RNA is filed under the name uncultured Neocallimastigales. Its description in RNAcentral is "partial large subunit ribosomal RNA". It matches the Rfam family "Eukaryotic large subunit ribosomal RNA", at positions 24 to 633 of the family's 3401-position model. Lineage: Eukaryota; Fungi; Neocallimastigomycota; Neocallimastigomycetes; Neocallimastigales. The record is from RNAcentral.